RNAcentral lists this ribosomal RNA (253 nucleotides) under uncultured bacterium. Its description in RNAcentral is "partial 16S ribosomal RNA". It matches the Rfam family "Bacterial small subunit ribosomal RNA", at positions 524 to 776 of the family's 1533-position model. The record is from RNAcentral.
UACGGAGGGGACUAGCGUUGUUCGGAAUUACUGGGCGUAAAGCGCACGUAGGCGGAUCUGUAAGUCAGGGGUGAAAUCCCGGGGCUCAACCUCGGAACUGCCUUUGAUACUGCAAAUCUCGAGUCCGGAAGAGGUGAGUGGAAUUCCUAGUGUAGAGGUGAAAUUCGUAGAUAUUGGGAAGAACACCGGUGGCGAAGGCGGCCAUCUGGACCGCAACUGACGCUGAGGCGCGAAAGCGUGGGGAGCAAACAGG